RNAcentral lists this ribosomal RNA (2030 nucleotides) under Symmerus nobilis. Its description in RNAcentral is "SSU rRNA". It matches the Rfam family "Eukaryotic small subunit ribosomal RNA". The record is from RNAcentral. Lineage: Eukaryota; Metazoa; Arthropoda; Insecta; Diptera; Mycetophilidae.
UGCAUGUCUAAGUACAAACAUAAAUAAAGUGAAACCGCAAAAGGCUCAUUAUAUCAGUUAUGGUUCCUUAGAUCGUAUUCAUAGUUACUUGGAUAACUGUGGUAAUUCUAGAGCUAAUACAUGCAAUUAAGAAGAAACCAGUAAAAUGGAAUCUUCGCUUUUAUUAGAUUUAAACCAAUGGGAAAUGUUCUGCAUUUUCAAUAAAAAUGGUUGAACUCUGGAUAACUUGUUGAUCGUAUGGUCUUGUACCGACGACGGAUCUUUCAAAUGUCUGCCCUAUCAACUAUUGAAGGUAGUGUCUUGGACUACCUUGGUUGCAACGGGUAACGGGGAAUCAGGGUUCGAUUCCGGAGAGGGAGCCUGAGAAACGGCUACCACAUCUAAGGAAGGCAGCAGGCGCGUAAAUUACCCACUCCCGGCACGGGGAGGUAGUGACGAAAAAUAACAAUACAAGACUCACAUCCGAGGCCUUGUAAUUGGAAUGAGUACACUUUAAAUCCUUUAACAAGGACCAUUAGAGGGCAAGUCUGGUGCCAGCAGCCGCGGUAAUUCCAGCUCUAAUAGCGUAUAUUAAAGUUGUUGCGGUUAAAACGUUCGUAGUUGAACCUGUGUUCCGUUCGGGCAGUACCUAGGGCCAUGCAAAUGGAACGGUACCAUGUCUUAUCUUCUUAUAUUCCAUUUUAUGGUUUUAAGAAAAGAACGUGAACGUAUUAUCGGCGCGUUCAUUGGCCAUAUCAUGGGGGCGUUUAGGCGUUUCUAUGAUAUGCGUUUAAUGUUCGCAUAAGCCCAUUUCAGUGCUCUUAACCGAGUGUUGCUGUGGGCCGAUACAAAUUACUUUGAACAAAUUAGAGUGCUUAAAGCAGGCUUGUUAUGCCUGAAUAUUUUGUGCAUGGAAUAAUGGAAUAGGACAUCUGUUCUACUUUCAUUGGUUUUUUAGACCAAGAUGUAAUGAUUAAUGGAAGCCGUUGGGGGCAUUAGUAUUACAACGCGAGAGGUGAAAUUCUUAGACCGUUGUAAGACUGACUAAAGCGAAAGCAUUUGCCAAAGAUGUUUUCAUUUAAUCAAGAACGAAAAGUUAGAGGUUCGAAGGCGAUCAGAUACCGCCCUAGUUCUAACCAUAAACGAUGCCAGCUAGCAAUUGAGUGUAGCUACUACUAUGGUUCUCUCAGACGCUUCGCGGGAAACCAAAGCUUUUGGGCUCCGGGGGAAGUAUGGUUGCAAAGCUGAAACUUAAAGGAAUUGACGGAAGGGCACCACCAGGAGUGGAUCCUGCGGCUUAAUUUGACUCAACACGGGACAUCUUACCAGGUCCGAACAUAAAUGAGUAAGACAGAUUGAUAGCUCUUUCUCGAAUCUAUGGGUGGUGGUGCAUGGCCGUUCUUAGUUCGUGGAGUGAUUUGUCUGGUUAAUUCCGAUAACGAACGAGACUCAAAUAUAUUAAAUAGAUGCAUUCAGGAUUAUGACGUUGAAGCCUUUUACUACCCGCCAAUAAUAGAUCUUGCUAGUGGAUGGAAUGAUGGUAAAAUAUUGUUCACGUGUGCUAGUUUGUUUUGUUUGUUGGUUGACUUGGUAGGAUGGGUCGAGUGAUACCUGUUUGUUUGUCUAAAUAUAAAAAUAGACACUUAGCUUCUUAAAUGGACAAAUUGUGUCUAACAAUAAUGAGAUUGAGCAAUAACAGGUCUGAGAUGCCCUUAGAUGUCCUGGGCUGCACGCGCGCUACAAUGAAGGUAUCAACGUGUGUUUCCUAGGCCGAGAGGUCGGGGUAAACCGCUGAACCACCUUCUUGCUUGGGAUUGUGGACUGAAACUGUUCACAUGAACCUGGAAUUCCCAGUAAGUGCGAGUCAUUAACUCGCAUUGAUUACGUCCCUGCCCUUUGUACACACCGCCCGUCGCUACUACCGAUUGAAUUGUUUAGUGAGGUCUCCGGACGUGAUCACUACGACGCACUAGCUGUGUUGCAGUUGUUUCACAGAAGUUGACCGAACUUUGGUUAUUUAGAAGGAAGUAAAAAGUCGUAACAAAGGUCUC